Long non-coding RNA from Rhipicephalus sanguineus (brown dog tick), 262 nucleotides. RefSeq lists it as uncharacterized. The record is from RefSeq and is a predicted model, not a curated record. Lineage: Eukaryota; Metazoa; Arthropoda; Arachnida; Ixodida; Ixodidae. The transcript has 3 exons.
CUACGAAAACGGAAUAACCAUGCACCAUGUGGGUGUGCGCACCGCCUCCAAGAAACUGCUCAUAUCAGCACCCGCUCGGAUGCUUUAUCUCUGAACCUACCUCAAGUCAGCAGAGGAUGUUCCACUACAGAAAGUAAAUUCGUCGUCCCAAAUCCUCACAAGGAAACUGGACAAAAGAGAGAUCAUUGGUUUCCAAGCUACCCACACCAAGUCGUAAGAAGCUCAAGAGUCGCCUAUCCACCACCAAAGUUUACCAGGCAGA